RNAcentral lists this ribosomal RNA (497 nucleotides) under uncultured bacterium. RNAcentral describes it as "partial 16S ribosomal RNA". It matches the Rfam family "Bacterial small subunit ribosomal RNA", at positions 28 to 507 of the family's 1533-position model. The record is from RNAcentral.
GAUGAACGCUGGCGGCGUGCCUAAUACAUGCAAGUCGAGCGAACAGACGAGGAGCUUGCUCCUCUGACGUUAGCGGCGGACGGGCGAGUAACACGUGGAUAACCUACCUAUAAGACUGGGAUAACUUCGGGAAACCGGAGCUAAUACCGGAUAAUAUAUUGAACCGCACGGUUCAAUAGUGAAAGACGGUUUUGCUGUCACUUAUAGAUGGAUCCGCGCCGCAUUAGCUAGUUGGUAAGGUAACGGCUUACCAAGGCAACGAUGCGUAGCCGACCUGAGAGGGUGAUCGGCCACACUGGAACUGGGACACGGUCCAGACUCCUACGGGAGGCAGCAGUAGGGAAUCUUCCGCAAUGGGCGAAAGCCUGACGGAGCAACGCCGCGUGAGUGAUGAAGGUCUUCGGAUCGUAAAACUCUGUUAUUAGGGAAGAACAAAUGUGUAAGUAACUAUGCACGUCUUGACGGUACCUAAUCAGAAAGCCACGGCUAACUACGUG